GAUGAAGAACGCAGCAAAAUGCGAUAAGUAAUGUGAAUUGCAGAAUUCAGUGAAUCAUCGAAUCUUUGAACGCACAUUGCGCCCGCCAGUAUUCUGGCGGGCAUGCCUGUUCGAGCGUCAUUUCAACCCUCAAGCACAGCUUGGUGUUGGGACUCGCGUUAAUUCGCGUUCCCCAAAUUGAUUGGCGGUCACGUCGAGCUUCCAUAGCGUAGUAGUAAAACCCUCGUUACUGGUAAUCGUCGCGGCCACGCCGUUAAACCCCAACUUCUGAAUGUUGACCUCGGAUCAGGUAGGAAUACCCGCUGAACUUAAGCAUAUCAAAAGCGGAGGA
RNAcentral lists this unclassified non-coding RNA (331 nucleotides) under soil metagenome. RNAcentral's name for it is "partial contains 5.8S ribosomal RNA, internal transcribed spacer 2, and large subunit ribosomal RNA". The stretch from base 1 to 120 matches the Rfam family "5.8S ribosomal RNA", at positions 35 to 154 of the family's 154-position model. The record is from RNAcentral.